Long non-coding RNA from Myxocyprinus asiaticus (Chinese sucker), 3006 nucleotides. RefSeq lists it as uncharacterized. The transcript has 3 exons. NCBI's taxonomy places the organism in Eukaryota, Metazoa, Chordata, Actinopteri, Cypriniformes, Catostomidae. The record is from RefSeq and is a predicted model, not a curated record.
AUGAGAAAAAGAAACAACAUUUAAGAAACCUAAGCAUUUUACAUGACUGUCUGGAAUACUUUGUGUUUGGUCAAUGGCAAUAUUCUGUUGUCAAAUAUUUUAAUAAUAAUGAGUGCUAAAAUGUAUGUUAUGUUAUUGUAACAAGGAAGGACACCGGGAACUGGAUUCUUCAAACACAGAUGGAAAGCCUGGAGAAGGACAUAUAAUUAAUGGGGAAAACCUCACAACCACCAAAAGGGUAAGUGGCAUUAAUAAGGAUUUACCCUGCGGUUGAUUGAGGCUGUCAUGUUUAACCUGUGUUUUCUCUGUUCCCGCCCGGGUGUGAGCGAGGGGGUGAGCUGGCCUGGAGAGGUAUCCUCUAUAUGCCCACUCUGACCGUAGGGCGUGGUUGAGGAAGUAGCAUUCCCAUGUGGACAGCUGUAGUGUGUGCACCUCCAGCUCUGGACUCCUUUAUUCGGAUAGGAGCAUGGGAGAAGGGGAGAUGUGGCUGAAUCACCCGCCCCACCUUUUCGUCAUCGUCGCGCUGCCUCUGAGGGCCGUCCUUCAGCCAGGCUCACAACGGGAGAUGGCAGGAGAGAGGAGAGGUGCAAUUUAAAAAGGUCCAGGAACGGAGCGGGGAGGGUCCGGUGCGAAUUAGAUGCAGGUAUUGGAGCGCGCUUUGUGGCAAUGGGCCAGGAUGCUGGGCCGCCAUUCCUGUCACCCACCGCGGCCCCAGGGAAGUUGAGCCACUCGAUGAAGCUGCUGCCCCUCGUGCCCCGGAUCCAGGAGGGGAGCGCGUCAUGGCCAUCGAACCCCGCCCAUUAUUCCUGGACCUUACUCUCUCUUCACUCCCCACCUUCACAUAGUCCCAUUCACCGCGAGGUCGCCAGAUCCCCCUUAAUUUUGGACACUUUACCCCUUGGACACUAUUUUGCCCAUUUGUGAAAUGUUAAGUUAAAAAUUAAAAUUUAAUCGAAAAUAUGGACCGGCUAAACUUAUUUAUUUAUUUUAUGCACAUUAGUUGAAAAUGGAAAGCUCUUUUUUUUUUUAACAGCCAGGAAUGUUAUUUGCAGUAAUAUAAUGGUGCUGUAUGGUUUAUGCAUUUAAUGCACCCUCUUGUGGACAAAGGAAACAAUGUCAAUUUAAAAUAAUCAGCUGACUUUGAAAUCCAAAUAUUAUUCUAAUUUGUUUUAUAUUUAAGGUAAAAAUUCGAACUUAGUUUAUCUGCCCAGUUGACAGCCCUAAUUUCCAAUAAAUGGCACUCUGUUUCUUGUGUUACAUAGAUAUCAUGCAAAUUUGUAAACCUUUCAAAGAAAUGUUCUUCCGUGAAAUUAGCGUUUUCAAGGAAAAGUGUCCAACUGCACAAUGGUUUAAACUAAUAACAGAAAAUGAGGAAGAGAUUUUGAUGCUCUGUUAUUACAGAAGAUUUCUAAGCCGCAGGUCAUGUGUGAUUCACACAGAUGUACAAUAUGCACGCUAUAUGCUAUUUUUUUUUAAGUUAAUUGUGCAGGACUUUUUUUUAAUAUAUAUACUGUAUAUAAAGCUUCCAAAACCUAGUCAUGCCGGUACGUGUGUGGCCACCCAUUUUUAACAAACAACUUCAGUGAGUGUGUGAUGAAACUGACCGUUAUCCUUAUUUUAAAGCUAUGGGAUUGUGACAGAGGGUUUUUAAUAGGUCUGGUGGCCAGUGCAGUUUCCUUCCCUCUGGAUUGCAUCAGGGCUGGUAUCUCAUCCAGAUGUCUACUGGAUGUGAGUUUCAUCUGCAAGAGCAUCUGCCUAUCUGCAAUAUGUCUCUAAAUUUCCAAAUGUUUUUGAGCCAUUUACAGUAUGAUGUAGAAUGUGGAACUUAAGAAAAUAAAAAACUUACUGUUUUAAAGGCAUAAAACUGAAGGAAUAUAAUGUCUGGUAUAUUUUUUAUAAACUGACUUAAAUGGUCUUCAAAGACUUUUUGAAUUUGUGAUUUUGUUUUGGAUUGUUUUGCUUCUGGAUUAUUCAUGAUGAUUUAAAUGUUAAUUACUGCUGUGAUUAUAUAAACAUUCAGAGCUAACAGUUGUAACACUCUUACUGAACAAUGUACAUUGGGGUCUAAAAGUCUGAGAACACAUUACAAAUCUGGGAUUUAAAAUCUAAUUUAAACCUGAAAAUAAACAGCCACUUUUGGGAUUUAAAAAAAAAUAAAAGAAAUGUUACGAUGCAAUGUGAAGAGGAAAGAUUUCAGAUUUUUGCAUUAUUUCUAGGUCACUAAUCAAAACUAAAUUUGUGACACUGUGUUAACUCCUUUGAAAGGUCAGAUUUUCUUGCUUUCACUGAAGUACACAAGAUGCUCUUUGGAACAUUCUCAAAUCAUGCCGAAAAACAUGAUCAUCAGGUUCAUGCAAACUCUAGUGCAUGCUGUUAUUAGAGCAAAGACAUUCUCAAAUUCAUGUACAUUUUUCAAAUCAACUUUUCAGUGAAACUGUUAUGCUGAUAAAGUAUUUAAAUAAAUGUAUUAAAUUAUCACUAGUGAAUUUUUGGACCCCACGGUACAUAGUGAAUAAUAAAAAACAAACAAGAAAGAAUGCAGUAGUAUGUAGAGCAUAUGUGGUGGCAAAUGUGAGGGUCAUGCAGUAGAUUUGGGAAAAGUGAAGUUGGGUAAUACUACAGUAAGUGUUUUAUGAGUCACUGCUCUGAUGCCUUUACUCUUUUUUACACAUUAAUAUAGAGUUUUAUCUCUGAGAAACUUAGUGGUUGUAGUUCAACUAUUUGAACAGACUUGAGUACUCACACAAUCACUACAUACAUGCAAGAAAACUGUCAUACACACAUACACAAAUGAGGAAAGUAUGUUGUGAUAUUUUGUCCAUAAGCAUCAUAAGAGAGUCAUGUGACUGUGAGGAACAGCUGUGGUUUUCUAAUUAUCCUGACAAAUUCUACACUGAGCCAUUUUGAACAUUGUUAAAGCAUUUUAUAUGCAUUGCUAACAUGAUUUUGUGCAUAACUGUUGUCUGUAUUCCUUUCACAACUGCUGUGUGUACUGGUAAAGUGCUG